Molecule: long non-coding RNA, 654 nt
Organism: Jaculus jaculus (lesser Egyptian jerboa)
Lineage: Eukaryota; Metazoa; Chordata; Mammalia; Rodentia; Dipodidae
Exons: 3
Source: RefSeq, a predicted model, not a curated record
CCUCGGUCCCCAAGGCCCUGCGGGACGCUGGAACCCUGGUCCGGCCCCCUCCGCGCCCGGUGGCGUCCACCGCGCACACUCCCGGCGGAGGGGGUGUCACUAGGAUCUCAUUGUUGGAAGAAGCUGUGUCCGUUGGAAGGCGCAGCAUUGCUUGCUGUUUGGUCCUUCACUAUCGGGGACCUCCUCCAUGCACCUCCUGCAGCUCCCAAGCCAGACUGAACGGCUACCAGAAGCUGGGGGAGGCAGGGACUUGGCAAACCUCAAACACUUCUCCUCUCCAACUGGUUCAGAACCUUCUCCACACUUGCAGCACACACGGCUAUUACAAGGUCUGCAGGCUCCCUGUCAUCCUGCGCUGCCUUCCUCUCUCUGCCGGGCGUGGCGCAUGGCCUUCCGGGGAGGACGCCCUUGAAGGAGGCCAGCAAACUCUCCCAGCAAACUCCAGGCCUGGACGGGGCUCCAACUGCCACCUGUUUCCUUGAAAUAGUUCGCAGCUGUGCUGGGUGACCUCAUCGCUCUGGCGCUCAUGGGGCUAAGUGGAUCUGGAAAGUCCUCUUCCCAAGUCGGAGCUCCCCCUGUGGGCGGGCUUGGGCUGCUAAGGGAGAGCCUCGGGUUGGGGAACGAGCCUGAGAGGUAGUGGGGGACUGGGCUGCA